Molecule: ribosomal RNA, 253 nt
Filed under: uncultured bacterium
Lineage: Bacteria
Description: partial 16S ribosomal RNA
Rfam family: Bacterial small subunit ribosomal RNA
Source: RNAcentral
UACGAGGGGGGCAAGCGUUGUCCGGAAUUAUUGGGCGUAAAGCGCGCGCAGGCGGUCCCUUAAGUCUGAUGUGAAAUCCCACGGCUCAACCGUGGAAGGUCAUUGGAAACUGGGGGACUUGAGUACAGAAGAGGAAAGCGGAAUUCCAAGUGUAGCGGUAAAAUGCGUAGAGAUUUGGAGGAACACCAGUGGCGAAGGCGGCUUUCUGGUCUGUAACUGACGCUGAGGCGCGAAAGCGUGGGGAGCAAACAGG